This 940-nucleotide long non-coding RNA is filed under the name Sus scrofa (pig). Its description in RNAcentral is "lncRNA (ENSSSCG00070000823.1)". Lineage: Eukaryota; Metazoa; Chordata; Mammalia; Artiodactyla; Suidae. The record is from RNAcentral.
CACAGAAGUUGCUUUUUUUUUUUUUUUUUUUUGGUAUCCUGUCUAAUUUCUAAUUACAGGUUUUCAUCCCAUUCGUACUCAACCAUGAGAAAUUAAAGGUGCAACAUUCCCAGCUGGAACCCACCUUUCCCCAACAUUUCAAGCUGCUGUAUCACAGCUCCCUGGUGUUUACUCAGCUGGACAGAAUUCUUAUUUUGCCCAAUGCAAACAACUGUCCAACAGGAGGCCAUCUAUAAACUGCACUGUUUUCACCAAAAAAAAAAAAAAAAAGGCCAGGAUUCCCUUUUUCCCAUGCCCCACCACAUUGUAAUAUCUUUGGAAGAUAAUUAAAGUAGCUUCUCACAAAAGAAGUUAGAUAUUUUAGAACGGCUUCUAUAACAGAAAUGUCUAGUAGAGCAUGAAAAAUGUGUCCUGGGUCAGGAUUUGUAAAUGUGUGAGCAAAUACUUUUGACUUAUAGAAAUGAGCAUAUUAACAUGCUCAAAGUUAAUUAAAAUAAAAUGCAUUUUUAAUGCACGCUUUUACAGUGGAUGUCGUUUUCGUUGCAGGUGAAAUGAUGAAGAGAGCAUGAUUUUGGGACUGACUCUUAGUACUCCAACUUCAAAAUCUCUUCUUUUUGGCUUAUUUAAGACCACUCACUAAGCAACGCACCUAUGCUGUCACAGAAUGAGUAAGUUGCGGCUGCGAUCUGCAUUCACAGAGCUCAAGGUGUAAGAGGGAAGACGAAUGCGCUUUCUUGCAUGGAUCUUAUUAGUCUCCUAUGCACCGAGUGCCUUUUACCUGGAAAGGAGCCUGGAACUGCAGGAUGAGUGGUCUCUCGAAUCCAGGCUCAUUUCUUCAGCUGACCGUUGUCGUCUCGUCUGGAGAACCACACUCAUCCUAAAUGGCCUCAUGGCUCCAGUCUUUCUUCUACAGGAGCCAGUCUGCCUUCCAUACCACUAA